AUUGAACGCUGGCGGCAGGCCUAACACAUGCAAGUCGAACGGUAACAGGAAGAAGCUUGCUUCUUUGCUGACGAGUGGCGGACGGGUGAGUAAUGUCUGGGAAACUGCCUGAUGGAGGGGGAUAACUACUGGAAACGGUAGCUAAUACCGCAUAACGUCGCAAGACCAAAGAGGGGGACCUUCGGGCCUCUUGCCAUCGGAUGUGCCCAGAUGGGAUUAGCUAGUAGGUGGGGUAACGGCUCACCUAGGCGACGAUCCCUAGCUGGUCUGAGAGGAUGACAGGCCGCACUGGAGCUGGGACGCGGACCAGACGCCUACGGGAGGCAGCAGUGGGGAAUAUGGCACAAUGGGCGCAAGCCUGAUGCAGCCGUGCCGCGUGUAUGAAGGAGGCCUUCGGGGUGUAAAGUACGUUCAGCGGGGGGGAAGGGAGUAAGGUUGAUACCUUGGCUCAUUGACGUUACCCGCAGAAGAAGCACCGGCUAACUCCGUG
Molecule: ribosomal RNA, 490 nt
Filed under: uncultured bacterium
Lineage: Bacteria
Description: partial 16S ribosomal RNA
Rfam family: Bacterial small subunit ribosomal RNA
Source: RNAcentral